GAUGAACGCUGGCGGCGUGCCUAAUACAUGCCAGUCGAGCGAACAGACGAGGAGCUUGCUCCUCUGACGUUAGCGGCGGACGGGUGAGUAACACGUGGAUAACCUACCUAUAAGACUGGGAUAACUUCGGGAAACCGGAGCUAAUACCGGAUAAUAUAUUGAACCGCAUGGUUCAAUAGUGAAAGACGGUUUUGCUGUCACUUAUAGAUGGAUCCGCGCCGCAUUAGCUAGUUGGUAAGGUAACGGCUUACCAAGGCAACGAUGCGUAGCCGACCUGAGAGGGUGAUCGGCCACACUGGAACUGAGACACGGUCCAGACUCCUACGGGAGGCAGCAGUAGGGAAUCUUCCGCAAUGGGCGAAAGCCUGACGGAGCAACGCCGCGUGAGUGAUGAAGGUCUUCGGAUCGUAAAACUCUGUUAUUAGGGAAGAACAAAUGUGUAAGUAACUAUGCACGUCUGGACGGUACCUAAGCAGAAAGCCACGGCUAACUACGG
Molecule: ribosomal RNA, 496 nt
Filed under: uncultured bacterium
Lineage: Bacteria
Description: partial 16S ribosomal RNA
Rfam family: Bacterial small subunit ribosomal RNA
Source: RNAcentral